RNAcentral lists this unclassified non-coding RNA (194 nucleotides) under plant metagenome. Its description in RNAcentral is "partial contains small subunit ribosomal RNA and internal transcribed spacer 1". The stretch from base 1 to 46 matches the Rfam family "Eukaryotic small subunit ribosomal RNA", at positions 1786 to 1831 of the family's 1831-position model. The record is from RNAcentral.
AAGUCGUAACAAGGUUUCCGUAGGUGAACCUGCGGAAGGAUCAUUAAAGAAUUAAGGCUUCGCGGCCAAGUUCUCACCCUUUGUAUACCGAAACCCAAUGUUGCCUUUGGGCAAGGCCCCCUAUUUUCCGGGGCCUGCCAGAGGUUAUAAACCCUAGAAUCUCUGCUGUCUGAGUACUAUAACAAUAGUUAAAA